CAGAGUUGACACGGAACAGCAGUCCCCUUGGACAGCCGAACAGAAUUCACGUGGGUCGCAUGGCCAGAAAUGACAUCUCCAAUGUUAAUGUCUUGCUAAAUAAUUUGCUGCAGCUAACUAACAUUGGUGGGCAUCAUUUUCUCAUGACGUACCGUUUGAUUGGCGAGGAGCACUACCGAAUCUUUAGUUAGGGGCCGAAUGUUCAUAGUUUUCACGAUUUUUAGGACCAGAAUUUUCAAGAUUUUAUUUUCAUUGUGUCCAUAAUUUUUCACUACUAGUUCAACUUACAAAAGUUGAGUUCCCAACUUACAAAAGCAAAAUUAAAAGUUGGUACAACUAAACUAUAGCAAAUGAUUCCGACAAGACCCGGCCCUUCCUAUUCACUUGCCCAGGUACUCGCCUCUAUAAGGAAAAUAAAUCUAAACGGUGAGCUUUCGUCCCAUGAGGUUCCAAGAAAGUCAUGCAACAAUAAUAUCAUAUUCAUGCGACAUAACCAUAGUUCACAACCAUAAUGCAAGUUCACAUUGGGUACUCGACAAUUAAGAAUUUACAUUGCCAUAUAAAAGGAUACGGGGCGUUCAAGAGCAUAUUCAACCAAUUUGAUCAGAAUUUCGCUGACACUCCAUCCACAUUUUUUCCAAAAUACUACUCCCUCCGUCCCGAAAUGAAUGUCGCACUUCGGGUCUUGAGUUUCUUUUCAACAGUAUCGCAUUUUGGUCUAAGUUCCAGCGCUACCCCUUUGGUGCAUUACUCCGUUGAGUGGCAGAAAGAAAAAGCAAGGAUGGCAAGAUGUGUGGGACGCAUACUUUACAAAUGUGUCCAGCCAUUUUUUUGAGAUAGUAGCUUGCACGACCACUGUUUGCAUUUGCGGUGAGAUUCACGCAUAUUAUAUUCCUGGCUAAAUACAGCAGAUUGUGAUCGAUACAAUCUUGAAAUAUGCUAUUAAUUUUUUUUUAAACUUGGAAUAGGUUUUAAAAAUUUCAUUCACAGGACUAACUUUCUCUUCUUUUUUACAUAUAGUUUUUUUUUUCUCGAAAGAUUCUAAUUCCUGUGUUGUCUUGAAUUGUCAUUGCCUAUUUGAAAUCCCUCUACAAACGAAAAAACUCUUCAUGUUCGACACGCAAAACUAACCCAUACUCCCUCUCUUCUCUUUUCUGCCGACCAAGCCCUUUGCCGCAUGAAAAAGACAAUCGCUCAUUCUCCCUAUUUUCUUCCUCCUCCGACUCUUUCAACGAAAACUUGAUGGGAGAUUGGAAUACUAUUUGGAUAAACAUUACCAUUCUGGAGACGAAUGGUCGGUUUCAUUCAUGACUUGAUGAAUUCCAACACUCCCCACUCGAACUUUAGUCUGGCCAUGUCUUUUUGGCGGAAUGUAUUUCCGGGCAGAAGAGAUGGGAGGCUUGCCGUGGAUGUUUAUCUUUAUGUUGAGAUUCAACCACAGCAAGUGGGAAUCAUGUACCUUACCGGUGAUGAAAAAGUUAGUGUUUUCGGAUCGAAAACGCAUUGGGAAGACGUCAAGUGGAGAGUAAUAUCAAUGGUGGCAUUUCCCCUGAGCUGUUUGUUACGAAUAUGUAGGACGCUACCUCCUCCGGAAUUAUUCAGAUAUGCAGUGAUUCGGGCAGAGUUGACACGGAACAGUAGUCCCCUUGGACAGCCGAACAGAAUUCACGUGGGUCGCAUGGCCAGAAAUGACAUCCCCAAUGUUAAUGUCUUGAUAACUAAUUUACUGCAACUAGCUAAUAUUGGUGGGCAUCACUUUCUCAUGACGUACCGUUUGAUUGGCGAGAAGCACUACCGAAUCUUUAGUCAGGGGCUGAAUGUUUAGAGUUUUCCCGAUUUUUAGGACCAGAAUUUUCAAGAUUUUAUUUCCAUUGUGUCCAUAAUUUUUCACUACUAGUUCAACUUACAAAAGUUGAGUUCCCAACUUACAAAAGCAAAACUAAAAGUUGGUACAGCUAAAUUACAGCAAAAGAUUCCGACAAGACCCGGCCCUUCCUAUUCACUUGCCCAGGUACUCGCCUCUAUAAGGAAAACAAAUCUAAACGGUGAGCUUUUGUCCCAUGAGGUUCCAAGAAAGUCAUUCAACAAUAAUAUCAUAUUCAUGCGACAUAACCAUAGUUCACAACCAUAAUGCAAGUUCACAUUGGGUAGGUACUCGACAAUUAAGAAUUUACAUUGCCAUAUAAAAAGAUACGGGGCAUUCAAGAGCAUAUUCAACCAAUUUGAUCAGACUUUCGCUGACACUCCAUUAACAUUUUUUCCAAAAUACUUUUCCCUCCGUCCCGAAAUGAAUGUCGCGCUUCGGGUCUUGAGUUUCUUUUCAACAGUGUCGAAUUUUGGUCUAAAUCCCAACGCUACCCCUUCCGUGCAUUACUCGAUUGAGUGGCAGAAAGAAAAAGCAAGGAUGAUAAGAUGUGUGGGAUGCAUACUUUACAAAUGUGUCCAGCCAUUUUUUUGAGAAAGUAGCUUGCAGGGCCAUUGUUUGCAUUUGCGGUGAGACUCACGCAUAUUAGAUCCCUGGCUAAAUACAGCAGAUUGUGAUCGAUACAAUCUUAAAAUAUGCUAUUAGUUUUUUUUAAACUUGGAAUAGGUUUCAAAAAUUCCAUUCACAGGAACAACUUUCUAUUCUUUUUUACAUAUAGUUUUUUUUUCUCGAAAGAUUCUAAUUCCUGUGUUGUCCUGAAUUGUCAUUACCUAUUUGAAAUCCCUUUACAAACGAAAAAACUCUUCAAGUUCGACACGCAAAACAAACCCAUACUCCCUCUCUUUUUUUUCUGCCGACCAAGUCCUUUGUCGCCUGAAAAAGACAAUCGCUCCAUCUCCCUAUUUUUUUCCUUCUCCGAUUCUUUCGACGAAAACUUGAUGGGAGACUGGAAUAGUAUUUGGAUAAACAUUACCAUUCUGGAGACGAAUGGUCGGUUUCAUUCGUGACUUCAUGAAUUCCAAUACUCCCCACUCGAACUUUAGUCUGGCCAUGUCUUUUUGGCGGAAUGUAUUUUCGGGCAGAAGAGAUGGGAGGCAUGCCGUGCAUAUUUAUCUUUAUGUUGAGAUUGAACCACAGCAAGUGGGAAUCAUGUACCUUACCGGUGACGAAGAAGUCGGUGUUCUCGGAUAGGAAACGCAUUGGGAAGACGUCAAGUGGAGAGUAAUAUCAAUGGUGGCAUUUCCUCUGAGCUGUUUGUUACGAAUAUGUAGGACGCUACCUCCUCCGGAAUUAUUCAGAUAUGUAGUGAUUCGGGCAGAGUUGACACGGAACAGCAGUCCCCUUGGACAGCCGAACAGAAUUCACGUGGGUCGCAUGGUCAGAAAUGACAUCCCCAAUGUUAAUGUCUUGAUAAAUAAUUUGUUGCAUCUAGCUAACAUUGGUGGGCAUCACUUUCUCAUGACGUACCGUUUGAUUGGCGAGGAGCACUACCGAAUCUUUAGUUAGGGGCCGAAUGUUCAUAGUUUUCACGAUUUUUAGGACCAGAAUUUUCAAGAUUUUAUUUUCAUUGUGUCCAUAAUUUUUCACUACUAGUUCAACUUACAAAAGUUGAGUUCCCAACUUACAAAAGCAAAAUUAAAAGUUGGUACAACUAAACUAUAGCAAAAGAUUCCGACAAGACCCGGCCCUUCCUAUUCACUUGCCCAGGUACUCGCCUCUAUAAGGAAAACAAAUCUAAACGGUGGGCUUUCGUCCCAUGAGGUUCCAAGAAAGUCAUGCAACAAUAAUAUCAUAUUCAUGCGACAUAACCAUAGUUCACAACCAUAAUGCAAGUUCACAUUGGGUACUCAACAAUUAAGAGUUUACAUUGCCAUAUAAAAGGAUACGGGGCGUUCAAGAGCAUAUUCAACCAAUUUGAUCAGAAUUCCGCUGACACUCCAUCAAUAUUUUUUCCAAAAUACUACUCCCUCCGUCCCGAAAUGAAUGUCGCACUUCGGGUCUUGAGUUUCUUUUCAACAGUAUCGCAUUUUGGUCUAAGUUCCAGCGCUACCCCUUCGGUGCAUUACUCCGUUGAGUGGCAGAAAGAAAAAGCAAGGAUGACAAGAUGUGUGGGACGCAUACUUUACAAAUGUGUCCAGCCAUUUUUUUGAGAAAGUAGCUUGCACGGCCAUUGUUUGCAUUUGCGGUGAGACUCACGCAUAUUAUAUCUCUGGCUAAAUACAGCAGAUUGUGAUCGAUACAAUCUUGAAAUAUGCUAUUAGUUUUUUUUUAACUUCGAAUAGGUUUUAAAAAUUUCAUUCACAGGACCAACUUUCUCUUCUUUUUUACAUAUAGUUUUUUUUUCUCGAAAGAUUCUAAUUCCUGUGUUGUCUUGAAUUGUCAUUGCCUAUUUGAAAUCUCUCUCCAAACGAAAAAACUCUUCAUGUUCGACACGCAAAACUAACCCAUACUCCCUCUCUUCUCUUUUCUGCCGACCAAGCCCUUUGUCGCCUGAAAAAGACAAUCGCUCAUUCUCCCUAUUUUCUUCCUCCUCCGACAAUUUCAACGAAAAUUUGAUGGGAGAUUGGAAUACUAUUUGGAUAAACAUUACCAAUCUGGAGACGAAUGGUCGGUUUCAUUCAUGACUUGAUGAAUUCCAACACUUCCCACUCGAACUUUAGUCUGGCCAUGUCUUUUUGGCGGAAUGUAUUUCCGGGCAGAAGAGAUGGGAGGCUUGCCGUGGAUGUUUAUCUUUAUGUUGAGAUUCAACCACAGCAAGUGGGAAUCAUGUACCUUACCGGUGACGAAAAAGUUGGUGUUUUCGGAUCGAAAACGCAUUGGGAAGACGUCAAGUGGAGAGUAAUAUCAAUGGUGACAUUUCCUCUGAGCUGUUUGUUACGAAUAUGUAGGACGCUACCUCCUCCGGAAUUAUUCAGAUAUGCAGUGAUUCGGGAAGAGUUGACACGGAACAGCAGUCCCCUUGGACAGCCGAACAGAAUUCAUGUGGGUCGCAUGGCCAGAAAUGACAUCCCCAAUGUUAAUGUCUUGAUAACUAAUUUACUGCAGCUAGCUAACAUUGGUGGGCAUCACUUUCUCAUGACGUACCGUUUGAUUGGCGAGAAGCACUACCGAAUCUUUAGUCAGGGGCUGAAUGUUUAGAGUUUUCCCGAUUUUUAGGACCACAAUUUUCAAGAUUUUAUUUCCAUUGUGUCCAUAAUUUUUCACUACUAGUUCAACUUACAAAAGUUGAGUUCCCAACUUACAAAAGCAAAACUAAAA
This 5182-nucleotide long non-coding RNA is filed under the name Coffea arabica (coffee). RNAcentral describes it as "long non-coding RNA (CARA_LNC005124)". The record is from RNAcentral. Lineage: Eukaryota; Viridiplantae; Streptophyta; Magnoliopsida; Gentianales; Rubiaceae.